RNAcentral lists this ribosomal RNA (253 nucleotides) under uncultured bacterium. RNAcentral's name for it is "partial 16S ribosomal RNA". It matches the Rfam family "Bacterial small subunit ribosomal RNA", at positions 524 to 776 of the family's 1533-position model. The record is from RNAcentral.
UACGUAGGUGGCAAGCGUUGUCCGGAUUUAUUGGGUUUAAAGGCUGCGUAGGCGGCCCUGUAAGUCAGUGCUGAAAUACCCCGGCUUAACCGGGGGGGUGGCAUUGAUACUGCAGGGCUUGAGUACAGAUGAGGUAGGCGGAAUUGACGGUGUAGCGGUGAAAUGCAUAGAUAUCGUCAAGAACACCGAUAGCGAAGGCAGCUUACUGGGCUGUAACUGACGCUGAUGCACGAAAGUGUGGGGAUCAAACAGG